CCCCACUGCUAUCGAGGUGGGACUUAGCCAGGCCAGUCGAACGACUCGGACUAUGGCGAGAAGUGGCAAACUGCUCAGUAACACGUAGCUAACCUACCCUCAGGACGGAGACAACCCCGGGAAACUGGGGUUAAUCCCCGAUAGGCGUGGAUUCCUGGAAUGGUGUCACGCCGAAACGUUAACACACCAUGUUUGUGUACACGCCUGAGGAUGGGGCUGCGGCCGAUCAGGCAGUUGGUGAGGUAACGGCUCACCAAACCUUCGACCGGUACGGGCCGUGAGAGCGGUAGCCCGGAGAUGGACACUGAGACAAGGGUCCAGGACCUACGGGUCGCAGCCGGUACGAAACCUCCACAAUGCACGAAAGUGCGAUGGGGUUACCUCGAGUGCCGUCUGAAGAAGGCGGCUUUUCCAUUGUGUAAUGAGCCGUGGGAAUAAGGGGGGGGCAAGACUGGUGUCGGCCGCCGCGGUAACACCAGCCCCCCGAGUGGUGGGGAUGUUUAUUUGGCCUAAAACGUCCGUAGCCAGCUAGGUAAAUCUCUCGUUAAAUCCAGCGUCCUAAGCGUUGGGCUGCGAGAGAGACUGCCAAGCUAGAGGGUGGGAGAGGUCAGCGGUAUUUCUGGGGUAGGGGCGAAAUCCAUUGAUCCCAGGAGGACCACCAGUGGCGAAGGCUGCUGACUAGAACACGCCUGACGGUGAGGGACGAAAGCUGGGGUAGCGAAUCGGAUUAGAUACCCGAGUAGUCCCAGCCGUAAACGAUGCAGGCUAGGUGUUGGGUUGGCCACGUGCCGACUCAGUGCCACAGGGAAGCCAUUAAGCCUGCUGCCUGGGGAGUACGGUCGCAAGGCUGAAACUUAAAGGAAUUGGCGGGAGAGCACCACCAGGCGUGAAGCCUGCGGUUU
RNAcentral lists this ribosomal RNA (902 nucleotides) under uncultured archaeon. RNAcentral describes it as "bacterial SSU rRNA". It matches the Rfam family "Archaeal small subunit ribosomal RNA", at positions 21 to 903 of the family's 1478-position model. The record is from RNAcentral.